RNAcentral lists this long non-coding RNA (5334 nucleotides) under Nicotiana benthamiana. RNAcentral's name for it is "long non-coding RNA (NBEN_LNC034637)". Lineage: Eukaryota; Viridiplantae; Streptophyta; Magnoliopsida; Solanales; Solanaceae. The record is from RNAcentral.
CUGAAUUUUAUCUUCUACACAAGUCCAAAAACAAAAAAAAAAACAUAGAGGAGACGGAGGGAGGGUCUAAGGGAGCUUCAUCAAAAAAACAAUUUAGAGGCUUAGCCUGAAGCAAAAUUGGAGAAAGGAUUUUCUUUACAUCUUUUCAGUUUCUUUUUGUUUCGAAGAAAAUUCCCUAAAAAAAAAGAUUUUGCGAUUUGUUUUCAUCUUAGUUAUACUUUUUAAGAGACCCGAUGAGAAAAGGAAGAAAGAAUAUUUUCACUUUUAGUUUCAUCUCUAGCUACUCGAUCUGAAAAAUCACAUACAAUAUAUUAGCUUCUUUUGAGAGAAAGCAAGGGAAACAAAAAUGGGUUUCGCAUAAGAUUUGGUUCAUGUUUGAUGAAUCAAGGUAUACAGUCCCCUAUUCGAGCUUUGGUCCAUAGAUUCUUGCAGAUUAUUCUAGUCGCUGUUUUAGCUUCGAUGUUGAAUUUUCUUGUAAUCGCUGCUCCCGAACAGAAAAUAUAUUGAAGAAAGCUACUUAAAGGUCAGUCUCUUCUCUGUUCUCACUUAUGUGCAUACUUAUACCUUGAAUGAUCUAAAAGCAAUAUAAGUGUCCAAUGUGAUUAGUUAUUAAAUUAUCUUACUUAGACGUUGAAUGAUCUAAAAGUAAUGUAAGUGUCGAAUGUGAUUAGCUGUUAAAUUAAGAUAGUUUUGAAAGCUGAACCAAAGGUAUUAGAAUUUCUAUUCUUAUAUACAUAUAUUAUUUUACUAAUAUUCUGCUACUUUGUAGUAUUAUAUAUUUUGAAAAAUUCAAUUUCUUUUGUUUGCAUUAUUUCUUUUCGGUAGUAUACUAGUAGGCUAUUUCCAACAUGAUUUGAGAUUUUCUUUGGUCGUCACUUUCUUGGAAAGAGGAUUUAAUCUUGUAGAUGUAUUUUUGGUUCACAUUGACAAUAGUGUUUCCUUCGGAUUUUGGGUUUUUAGUUAUUAUUGAUAUGUUUGAAAAGCUUUCUUACUGUUUAUACUUAUUUAAUUUUUUAUUUUUUUCGUUAAUUUUUUUCUAUUCUAUCUCUUUUCCCUGAUUUUGGAGUAUUUAGAAGUUAUUGUUCUCUUUUAGUUGUUACGUUUUCGAAUCAUCAUUGUGUUCAAUUAGAUUUCUCUAUACUAAGUUAAUUUAAGUUUCAGAGUAAUAUAAUUACUAAUUACAGAUGGACCUUUAUCUUGCUUUAGUCAUUUCUUUUGCUACUUGUUAAUUAGUUUACUUAUAUGAUGGAAUGAUUCUAUGUGCUUGAUGGUUUCUGAGUACAAACAAGAGAAAGUUAUGAAGGAUGAGUGAGAAUUGCUUGAAUUGGGUCGUGGGGGUGAUGUUAAAUGUGAAAAAUCAUACCGUAAAUAUUUAGUCUUUUUGCUCUCAUUAUUUUCUUAAACGUUAGGAGCAUAUUUUAAGUCAACCACAUAUGAGCAGGCGAAUUUUUAGGCGCACUAUUUAAAUUAAUUUCUUUAAACUCGGGUAUGUAUUUUAUGUGACUCAAUUUCAAUCCAAAUAACGUUAGAUAAAAUGUGUCGUGGACCACAGGUGCAUUUAUGUGACAUGGUUAGAGACGUAUUUUAAUAACGUUGCAAUCUUCCUUAAAAAUUAAAUAAAAGCAGUGAAUAAUUUAAAAUUGCACUAUAGGUUGAAACAUGUACUAAAAUCAGAUAAUUAAGCCGAAUAUAACAGUUGAGCGACCGUGCUAGAACCACGAAACUCGGGAAUGCCUAACACCUUCUUCCGGGUUAACAGAAUUCCUUACCCGGAUUUCUGCCUCGCAGACUAUAUUACAGAGUCAAACUGUUACAUUCUAUGUUUUCGUACGUGAGAGUACAUCGAAAACCAAUUGAUGUAAGCUCAGAAAUGAUAUCAUUUUUUUGAAAGUACAUAAUGUUAGUUUAAUCUUGUUAUAUUGGAGGUUAUAAAUCUUUAAGAUCAUGAAUAACAAGUACCAAUGGGUUGGAAAGUAUAGACGCUUAACAAACACAAGAAAAUAAGUUCCGUUGAAAAUCGACAAAUUUGAAAUAUUAUAACAUGUACUUUGGGGUGAGACUAGGGUUCUUAACAUGAUAAGGAGGUUAUUCUAUGAGNNNNNNNNNNNNNNNNNNNNNNNNNNNNNNNNNNNNNNNNNNNNNNNNNNNNNNNNNNNNNNNNNNNNNNNNNNNNNNNAAUAUUCAUUUUCUACAUUUUUAAGGCAAGCAAGUUGUGGAACAAGAGUUGGCAAAGGUCAUCACAAGUUACAUUCAUAAAUUUACUGAAAUUUAGGCCAAAUGUAGAUGCACUUUUCUCCCAAUAUACUUGGAAUCAAGGGAUGAUCUAUAUAUAAAAUUGAAUAUAUACGAGUCUAGUUUCCAACACAUUAAACAGUUCAUGUAUACGACAUCGGAGUAGAGAGAUAUUCGAUUUUUCGCGAGACUGCGCAAACAGCUCCCAAUGGAACCCACGUAGGCGGUAGUUGAGCUACUUCAAUUUAUAAACGAUUUGGAUGCCUAUUUUUGCUUAUUUUUCAACUCAACCUCAUCUCCAAACUUCUCCAAACCCUUCUAAACAUGUUCCACAAGGGUUUGAAGUGAUUACAGCAUAUUUCAACAUCAAACCUAGUCCUAGUGAAGAACAACACCUCUUUGAGGUUGUGUUGUCAUUGAGGAUUCUUGUCGGCUGUAUUUGGAUGAAAUUCUAAGUUGUUGUUGCUGUCUAAGGUGAGUCUAACAGCCUACUGAUUGUGCUUAAGUUUUCUUGUAUGUUGGUUAAGUUGUUAGGAUGAUAAACUACAAGAUAAUACUUGGAUUAACUUAAGUCCUUUCUUUGGUAUUGUAUUGCCAUUGAGGGUCAUUGUAAGCUGAAUAUAACUUGGAUUUCGAAUUGAAGUUACUGUAGGAGGUAGGUAUAUUGUGUUCUUUUAUGUGACUAAGGUUAUAUUGAUGUUGAUUAAGUUAAAUAGAAGGAGUAUACAUGAACUAGUGAAUAAAACUACUAAUUGAAAAUUGUUGGAGUUGUGGAUUGUUCCUUUGUUAUAAAUAUAUAGUAUAAGGAUGGAAUCAUUGAUGAAUGACUUCAUUAUCAUGUUAAUGGUACUUGUAAGUUAAUGUAAGAAGUCUAUAAGGGGAAUAUGGAUUAUACAUAUUCCAAUUGGAAUAUGGUGUUGUAUUGUCAUUGAGGGUUAUGGUAAGCUGAAUAUAACUUGGAUUUCGACUUGAAGUUACUAUAGGAGGUUGGUAUAUUUUUUUCUUGCAUGUGCCUAAGGUUAUCUGAUGUUUAUUAAGUUAAAUGGAUGGAGUAGACAUGAACUAGUGAAUAAAGUUACUAAUCGAAGAUAGUUAUAGUUGUGGAUUGUUUCCUUUGUUAUAAAUAUAUGGUAUAAGGAUGGAAUCAUUGAUGAAUGACUUCAUUAUCAUAUUAAUAAUACAUUUUAGUUAAUCUAAGAAGUCGGUAAGCGGUAGAUUGGUUAUAUGAAUUCCAAUUGGAGCUUGCCGCUCGUCGUGAAGUAGUUGGGACUUAUUGUUGUUAUGUGGUGUCUUGUUAUUAACAUUUAUAUGUUGAUGAAUUUCUAUAGUUGUUAUUGUUGGUAUAUGGUAUUAGUGGAGGCCCUUGUUACAAUGGAGAUGCUGCCCAAAUUUAAGUAAAACAAGCUACUAGCAUAAGUUAUAGACUUGGCCUUUGAUCAACACUAAUUUUGAAUCUCCUUAUGCUAUGAUAGAUCGAGUUGACUUGUAAGAAGAGUAAAUUGGAAGGAAUUAAGGACUCAACAUGUUUAAGGUAUGUUAAGGCUAAGCUUCGUCCUUUCUUUUAGCACGACUUCUGGGAAAUUCCUAAGACGCUGAAGAGUCACUUGGAAGGAAUUAAGGACUCAACAUGUUUAAGGUAUGUUAAGGCUGAGCUCUAUCCUUUCUUUUAGCACGAAUUCUGGGAAAUUCCUAAGACGUCAAAUGUGAUAUUUUACUAUUCUAUUGCUAGAAAGACCUUCUGUGGAAGGCAUUGGGAUCAUAGCUGAAGUAUGUUCAUAACGCUAUUAAAAUUGGUGUUCCACUCAUUCGAUUAAAUCGGGUAUUCGACAUCUAUAUAUGUCAUUUUGUCGGAUUUCUUAACUAUACGUCUAUAUAUAUGAAUUCUUAUUCGUCUUUGGGUUGUGUAACUGAAAAAGUAAUAAUAAUAAUAAUAAACAAAUAAAAUAAAUAAAGGUACUUAGUAUUUGCGAUCAGUCUUUCUUCUUUGUUAAAGUGUAUUUUAAAAUCUCUAAAGGGAGACGUCGAUUUCCAGUAAUCUCAGAUAUAAUUUUUAUUUAAACUACUAAAACACUUGAUUUUUUUUAAAUACUUUCUUUAAUUAAAUAUCAAGAAAUCAGGUAUAAGGACUAAGUGAAGCACCUUAAGCUUUUUACGAACAUCUUCAGAGUUAAGUUAUCCUUCUAAAAGUCGAGUUACGUUUUCAAGCUUAUUCAAUGAAAAGAAAGAUAUGAGGUUCCACGAAGCAAUUGUAUGCAGUACGGAGGUGAUUAUGAGAUCAUGAGAAUAAGGGUACCUAUGAGCCAAGAUUGGCUAAGUUCUUAUUAUGUGCAUUCAAAGUUCAUAUCAUACAUGGCAUAUUAUGCGUGGACUUCGAGCUAUAAUUGAAGGUAAGGGUUAUAUUUGCCCGCAAAAACUAUAUAUUGUACAGACGGCCACGAGAUGGCAAUAUGAUACCGGUUAGCUACCGGAAGAGACCAUCACUGCUAGCAUUUGGUUUGGUAUGUCAUGCAUUUUCAUCAAUAUAUAUAUUUACACGAGCAUACCAUGCAUAUUUGUUUAUUAUGAGGUCGGUUGUCGUCCAUGAGGCUAUCAGAGUUUCAGUGUCAGGUGGUAUCUCUAUUAUUUCUUUUACAUUAGCUAUGUGUGAUUCUACUUCCUGCCUUACAUACCAGUACAUGUUUAUUCGUACUGAUGUCUCGUUGCCUGGGGACACUGCAUUUUGUUCGUGCGUGCAGGUCCAGGUAGGACUCUGAUCGACCCCUCUGCUAGGAUUUCGAGGUCCAGCUGUGAGUUGGUAAGCUCCACCUCUUCCUGGAGCUUUCAUAGGAUGGUUACUUUUGUUGUACAAUUUGGGUAUAGUCGGGGCCUUGUCUCGACAAUACUUAUGACACUUUUAGAGGCUAUUGUGGGCAUAGUAUUCUAGGUUUCCUUUUACAGCUUCCACUCUCCACCCCAUAGGCUUGGCAUGUACAUAUAUGUAUGUAGGCAUGUAUGUCUCCAAUCACGGCCUCGUCGGCCAGCUAGUACUGUAUUAUUUUGACUCGUCUACUUUUGGUUAUAUGGUUUAUUGUUAUUCAGGUCAUGACCUUAAUGGUACAGGCU